RNAcentral lists this ribosomal RNA (614 nucleotides) under Rugamonas sp. r2. RNAcentral's name for it is "bacterial SSU rRNA". It matches the Rfam family "Bacterial small subunit ribosomal RNA", at positions 72 to 681 of the family's 1533-position model. The record is from RNAcentral. Lineage: Bacteria; Pseudomonadati; Pseudomonadota; Betaproteobacteria; Burkholderiales; Oxalobacteraceae.
GCGCGGGGCAACCUGGCGGCGAGUGGCGAACGGGUGAGUAAUAUAUCGGAACGUACCCUGGAGUGGGGGAUAACGUAGCGAAAGUUACGCUAAUACCGCAUACGAUCUAAGGAUGAAAGUGGGGGCUUCGCAAGAACCUCAUGCUCCUGGAGCGGCCGAUAUCUGAUUAGCUAGUUGGUGGGGUAAAGGCCUACCAAGGCAUCGAUCAGUAGCUGGUCUGAGAGGACGACCAGCCACACUGGAACUGAGACACGGUCCAGACUCCUACGGGAGGCAGCAGUGGGGAAUUUUGGACAAUGGGCGAAAGCCUGAUCCAGCAAUGCCGCGUGAGUGAAGAAGGCCUUCGGGUUGUAAAGCUCUUUUGUCAGGGAAGAAACGGUGAGGGCUAAUAUCCCUUGCUAAUGACGGUACCUGAAGAAUAAGCACCGGCUAACUACGUGCCAGCAGCCGCGGUAAUACGUAGGGUGCAAGCGUUAAUCGGAAUUACUGGGCGUAAAGCGUGCGCAGGCGGUUUUGUAAGUCUGUCGUGAAAUCCCCGGGCUCAACCUGGGAAUUGCGAUGGAGACUGCAAGGCUAGAAUCUGGCAGAGGGGGGUAGAAUUCCACGUGUAGCAG